CCUACGGGUGGCAGCAGUGGGGAAUCUUCCGCAAUGGGCGAAAGCCUGACGGAGCAACGCCGCGUGAUCGAAUGAAGGCCUUCGGGUUGUAAAGAUCUGUUGACAGGGACGAAUAAGCAAUGCGAAUAGUUUUGUGUAUGACGGUACCUGUUUAGAAAGCUCUGGCUAACUACGUGCCAGCAGCCGCGGUAAUACGUAGGGAGCAAUCGUUGUCCGGAAUUACUGGGCGGAAAGGGGGGGUAGGUGGAGUGUCAAGUUAGCGGUAAAAUUUUGGGGCUCAACGCCGUCGUGCCGUUGAAACUGACGGCCUUGAGUGAGUGAGAAGUAAGCGGAAUGCGUGGUGUAGCGGUGAAAUGCAUAGAUAUCACGCAGAACGCCGAUUGCGAAGGCAGCUUACCGGCGCUCAACUGACGCUGAGGCACGAAAGUGCGGGUAUCGAACAGGAUUAGAUACCCCGGUAGUC
Molecule: ribosomal RNA, 463 nt
Filed under: uncultured bacterium
Lineage: Bacteria
Description: partial 16S ribosomal RNA
Rfam family: Bacterial small subunit ribosomal RNA
Source: RNAcentral